UUCGGGGUACUCGAGUGGCGAACGGGUGAGUAACACGUGGGUGAUCUGCCCUGCACUUUGGGAUAAGCCUGGGAAACUGGGUCUAAUACCGAAUAGGACCACGCGCUUCAUGGUGUGUGGUGGAAAGCUUUUGCGGUGUGGGAUGGGCCCGCGGCCUAUCAGCUUGUUGGUGGGGUAAUGGCCUACCAAGGCGACGACGGGUAGCCGGCCUGAGAGGGUGACCGGCCACACUGGGACUGAGAUACGGCCCAGACUCCUACGGGAGGCAGCAGUGGGGAAUAUUGCACAAUGGGCGCAAGCCUGAUGCAGCGACGCCGCGUGAGGGAUGACGGCCUUCGGGUUGUAAACCUCUUUCAAUAGGGACGAAGCGCAAGUGACGGUACCUAUAGAAGAAGCACCGGCCAACUACGUGCCAGCAGCCGCGGUAAUACGUAGGGUGCGAGCGUUGUCCGGAAUUACUGGGCGUAAAGAGCUCGUAGGUGGUUUGUCGCGUUGUUCGUGAAAACUCACAGCUUAACUGUGGGCGUGCGGGCGAUACGGGCAGACUAGAGUACUGCAGGGGAGACUGGAAUUUCUGGUGUAGCGGUGGAAUGCGCAGAUAUCAGGAGGAACACCGGUGGCGAAGGCGGGUCUCUGGGCAGUAACUGACGCUGAGGAGCGAAAGCGUGGGGAGCGAACAGGAUUAGAUACCCUGGUAGUCCACGCCGUAAACGGUGGGUACUAGGUGUGGGUUCCUUCCUUGGGAUCCGUGCCGUAGCUAACGCAUUAAGUACCCCGCCUGGGGAGUACGGCCGCAAGGCUAAAACUCAAAGGAAUUGACGGGGGCCCGCACAAGCGGCGGAGCAUGUGGAUUAAUUCGAUGCAACGCGAAGAACCUUACCUGGGUUUGACAUGCACAGGACGCCGGCAGAGAUGUCGGUUCCCUUGUGGCCUGUGUGCAGGUGGUGCAUGGCUGUCGUCAGCUCGUGUCGUGAGAUGUUGGGUUAAGUCCCGCAACGAGCGCAACCCUUGUCCUAUGUUGCCAGCGGGUUAUGCCGGGGACUCGUAGGAGACUGCCGGGGUCAACUCGGAGGAAGGUGGGGAUGACGUCAAGUCAUCAUGCCCCUUAUGUCCAGGGCUUCACACAUGCUACAAUGGCCGGUACAAAGGGCUGCGAUGCCGUGAGGUGGAGCGAAUCCUUUUAAAGCCGGUCUCAGUUCGGAUCGGGGUCUGCAACUCGACCCCGUGAAGUCGGAGUCGCUAGUAAUCGCAGAUCAGCAACGCUGCGGUGAAUACGUUCCCGGGCCUUGUACACACCGCCCGUCACGUCAUGAAAGUCGGUAACACCCGAAGCCGGUGG
Molecule: ribosomal RNA, 1339 nt
Filed under: Mycobacterium sp. DWMJ-376B1
Lineage: Bacteria; Bacillati; Actinomycetota; Actinomycetes; Mycobacteriales; Mycobacteriaceae
Description: bacterial SSU rRNA
Rfam family: Bacterial small subunit ribosomal RNA
Source: RNAcentral